This 253-nucleotide ribosomal RNA is filed under the name uncultured bacterium. RNAcentral describes it as "partial 16S ribosomal RNA". It matches the Rfam family "Bacterial small subunit ribosomal RNA", at positions 524 to 776 of the family's 1533-position model. The record is from RNAcentral.
UACGUAGGAGACGAGCGUUGUCCGGAGUUACUGGGCGUAAAGCGUGCGCAGGCGGUUUUGUAAGCCAGAUGUGAAAUCCCCGGGCUUAACCUGGGAAUGGCAUUUGGGACUGCAAGGCUUGAGUGCGGCAGAGGAGACUGGAAUUCCUGGUGUAGCAGUGAAAUGCGUAGAUAUCAGGAGGAACACCGAUGGCGAAGGCAGGUCUCUGGGCUGACACUGACGCUCAUGCACGAAAGCGUGGGGAGCAAACAGG